This 463-nucleotide ribosomal RNA is filed under the name uncultured bacterium. Its description in RNAcentral is "partial 16S ribosomal RNA". It matches the Rfam family "Bacterial small subunit ribosomal RNA", at positions 30 to 526 of the family's 1533-position model. The record is from RNAcentral.
UGAACGCUAGCGGUAUGCUUAACACAUGCAAGUCGUACGGGAGUUUUUAACUCAAGUGGCGGACGGGUGAGUAACACGUGAGAAUUUACCUUUAGGAGGGGGAUAACAAUUGGAAACGAUUGCUAAUACCCCAUAUGCUUUUUUAAGUUGAAACGGAUUUAUUCGCCUAAAGAAAAGCUCGCGGCUGAUUAGCUAGUUGGUAAGGUAAUGGCUUACCAAGGCGACGAUCAGUAUCUGGUUUGAGAGGAUGAUCAGACACACUGGAACUGAGACACGGUCCAGACUCCUACGGGAGGCAGCAGUGGGGAAUUUUCCGCAAUGGGCGAAAGCCUGACGGAGCAAUACCGCGUGAGGGAAGAAAGCCUACUGGGUUGUAAACCUCUUUUUUUCAGGGAGGAAAAAAACUGACGUGUACCUGAAGAAUAAGCAUCGGCUAACUCCGUGCCAGCAGCCGCGGUAAUCU